GUGUCAGCAGCCGCGGUAAUACGUAGGGGGCGAGCGUUGUCCGAAGUUACUGGGCGUAAAGCGCGCGUAGGCGGGCUGUUAAGUCGGCUGUGAAAGCCCGGAGCUCAACUCCGGAGGGUCGGCCGAUACUAUCAGUCUUGAGGGCGGCAGGGAGAAGUGGAAUGGCUGGUGUAGCGGUGAAAUGCGUAGAUAUCAGUCGGAACACCGGUGGCGAAGGCGGCUUCUUGGGCCGUGUCCUGACGCUGAGGCGCGAAAGCCAGGGGAGCGAACGGGAUUAGAAACCCCGGUAGUCC
This 293-nucleotide ribosomal RNA is filed under the name uncultured bacterium. RNAcentral describes it as "partial 16S ribosomal RNA". It matches the Rfam family "Bacterial small subunit ribosomal RNA", at positions 505 to 796 of the family's 1533-position model. The record is from RNAcentral.